UUUGGAUUUAGGUUCUUUCAUCAUGAAACCCCAAAUUUAUGGAAUCUGUUGGGAUUAUCAUGGGAGAUGCUGAAUAUACUUGAACUACAGUAAGGGCACAAAACUGGAGUUAACAAGAGCAAAACAUUCCAAACACUGAUGUCGAGUCUUCCAUGUACUUCAUACGUCACUGAAGCAAUAGUAGCUGGAUCUGUGCUCUGUGUUGCAGACCACCACUCCCUGCCCUGGGUUUGCCCAGGGCUAACACUGGCAUUGCAGCAGAGGAUGGCCCUUAGGAUUGGCAAUGACCGCUGUAGGACAAAGUCUCGAUUUUACAAGGACUACUGCUCUCUCCAGCAGAGGAGCCUGCUUCCCAACCUGUGA
RNAcentral lists this long non-coding RNA (363 nucleotides) under Anser brachyrhynchus (Pink-footed goose). Its description in RNAcentral is "lncRNA (ENSABRG00000013951.1)". The record is from RNAcentral. Lineage: Eukaryota; Metazoa; Chordata; Aves; Anseriformes; Anatidae.